CCUACGGGUGGCAGCAGUGGGGAAUAUUGCACAAUGGGCGAAAGCCUGAUGCAGCAACGCCGCGUGAACGAAGAAGGCUCUUGGGUCGUAAAGUUCUUUUCUUAGGGAAGAAGAAAGUGACGGUACCCCAGGAGAAAGCCCCGGCUAACUACGUGCCAGCAGCCGCGGUAAUACGUAGGGGGCAAGCGUUGUGCGGAAUUAUUGGGCGUAAAGAGUGCGUAGGCGGUAUGUUAAGCGAAAGGUGAAAUGCAUAGGUUAAACCAAGGGGAGCCUUGCUAACUGGCAGACUUGAGUGCAGGAGAGGAAAGUGGAAUUCCUAGUGUAGCGGUGAAAUGCGUAGAUAUUAGGAGGAACACCAGUGGCGAAGGCGACUUUCUGGACUGAAACUGACGCUGAGGUACGAAAGCGUGGGGAGCAAACAGGAUUAGAUACCCCAGUAGUC
This 442-nucleotide ribosomal RNA is filed under the name uncultured bacterium. RNAcentral describes it as "partial 16S ribosomal RNA". It matches the Rfam family "Bacterial small subunit ribosomal RNA", at positions 338 to 795 of the family's 1533-position model. The record is from RNAcentral.